CGCUUUACUACGAGCACAGAGGUGUCGAGCAGCAGCACGUAUGACAACAGAAACCUCCCAAGAAAACUAUGUAUCCUGAGAGCAAACUAUGAGAGGAUUUCAUUGGUCGGUACGAAAUGCUUUAAAGUUUUCCUGAAAUAAACCACAGAGACAAAGACAUUUUGAAAUAUACUUCAAGGAUUUUUUGGUGAAAAGGCGAAGAAGCGAGAAAGGACCGGCGGCAGCGUCGAACAAGUUCGUUUAUGGAAGAAACCAAAAACACAACACAAGAGGAGCAGAUGAUAAGUUGUUUUGGUGCACAAGGAGCUGUAUCUUUGUAUGUUUUGUGUUCCAAGUGUCAGACACAGAGACAGAGAAGAGUCAUCCUCGGCUUGUUGGUAUCUGGCUGUAAUAUUACUCAGACCAAUAGAAGUGUCCCGGAGAAGCCUUGGAGAGGACGGGGCAGCGCUGAGUGGCGGGUGCAGAUUUCCUCGUAGUGUGGAGCUGCCGCUGCUGACUGAAUGCAGAGGAAACACUGAAAGCUGUUCUCCAGGCCUCCCUGCAGCUUCAGGGGAGAUUGUCAGAUGUGUACCCAGCAUUCAAAGCCCCUGGUCUGGCCACGGGGAUGGCAGCCUCUGCCCUGAACCUGAAUGGCCUUGGAGUCAUGAACAGCAGUAAUCAGUUUCACACCCAAGCAGGCUCCUCUAGUACCACCUCUCGAACUAGAACCAGUCCGGUCGGUCGACCUGUGCUGCCAGUUCCAGAUCGGAGCACCUAUUGUCAGUUACUGGGCGGGGGAACGCCGGGUGGAGGUAUCUACAGCCCAACCAGCCCUAAGGUAUCUCAACUGCCACAUCCAAC
Molecule: long non-coding RNA, 840 nt
Filed under: Sander lucioperca (pikeperch)
Lineage: Eukaryota; Metazoa; Chordata; Actinopteri; Perciformes; Percidae
Description: lncRNA (ENSSLUG00000022446.1)
Source: RNAcentral